Molecule: long non-coding RNA, 2038 nt
Organism: Oncorhynchus keta (chum salmon)
Lineage: Eukaryota; Metazoa; Chordata; Actinopteri; Salmoniformes; Salmonidae
Exons: 3
Source: RefSeq, a predicted model, not a curated record
UCAAUGCAAAAGGUUUUGCUAGCGUAUUGAAUUAGGGAGCUGAACACUUAGGCAACGACUGUGUUUUAAUUAUUUAAUUAAUAUAUUUUAUACAUUUUUAUUACACUUUGACAUUACGGAGUAUUUUGUGUAGAUUGUAAAAAAAAACAAAAAAACAAAUACAAUUAAUUACGUUUUAAUCCCACUUUGUAUUACAAUAAAAUAUGAAGAAAUCCAACGGGUCUGAAUGCUUAAGCCUUAGUUUCCUUGGUUACUGACGUUUCCAUCCACACAGAGAUAGUUAAUAUGACAUAGGUUAAGCCUUAGUUUCCUUGGUUACUGACGUUUCCAUCCACAUAGAGAUAGUUAAUAUGACAUAGGUUAAGACUUAGUUUCCUUGGUUACUGACGUUUCCAUCCACACAGAGGGAGUUAAUAGGUUAAGCCUUAGUUUCCUUGGUUACUGAUGUUUCCAUCCACACAGAGAGAGUUAAUAGGUUAAGCCUUAGUUUCCUUGGUUACUGACGUUUCCAUCCACACAGAGAGAGUUAAUAGGUUAAGCCUUAGUUUCCUUGGUUACUGACGUUUCCAUCCACACAGAGAGAGUUAAUAGGUUAAGCCUUAGUUUCCUUGCUUACUGACGUUUCCAUCCACACAGAGAUAGUUAAUAUGACAUAGGUUAAGCCUUAGUUUCCUUGGUUACUGACGUUUCCAUCCACACAGAGGGAGUUAAUAGGUUAAGCCUUAGUUUCCUUGGUUACUGACGUUUCCAUCCACACAGAGAGAGUUAAUAGGUUAAGCCUUAGUUUCCUUGGUUACUGACGUUUCCAUCCACACAGAGAGAGUUAAUAGGUUAAGCCUUAGUUUCCUUGGUUACUGACGUUUCCAUCCACACAGAGAGAGUUAAUAGGUUAAGCCUUAGUUUCCUUGGUUACUGACGUUUCCAUCCACACAGAGAGAGUUAAUAGGUUAAGCCUUAGUUUCCUUGGUUACUGACGUUUCCAUCCACACAGAGAGAGUUAAUAGGUUAAGCCUUAGUUUCCUUGGUUACUGACGUUUCCAUCCACACAGAGAGAGUUAAUAGGUUAAGCCUUAGUUUCCUUGGUUACUGACGUUUCCAUCCACACAGAGAGAGUUAAUAGGUUAAGCCUUAGUUUCCUUGGUUACUGACGUUUCCAUCCACACAGAGAGAGUUAAUAGGUUAAGCCUUAGUUUCCUUGGUUACUGACGUUUCCAUCCACACAGAGAGAGUUAAUAGGUUAAGCCUUAGUUUCCUUGGUUACUGACGUUUCCAUCCACACAGAGAGAGUUAAUAGGUUAAGCCUUAGUUUCCUUGGUUACUGACGUUUCCAUCCACACAGAGAGAGUUAAUAGGUUAAGCCUUAGUUUCCUUGGUUACUGACGUUUCCAUCCACACAGAGAGAGUUAAUAGGUUAAGCCUUAGUUUCCUUGGUUACUGACGUUUCCAUCCACACAGAGAGAGUUAAUAGGUUAAGCCUCAGUCUCCAUGUUUAUUUAUGACGGGUAGGAAAGGAAGCAUAGACGUAUCAAAAGGAAAAUGUCUCCUCUGUAGUCUCCAGGAUGCAGACAGACAGCAUUACAGACCACAGGAAGUGUGUAUGUGAGCAAAGAUGUGAACCCAAGAGUCUAACUGUGAUGUCUGUGCUGAUCAGCAGACAACUGUAUAAUGUAUGUGUGGUGGUUUGUCAAGGGUUUGUGUGUGUGUGUAUCUGUGUGUGUAUCUGCAUGUGUAUCUGUGUGUGUGUGUGCGUGUCACUACUGUGUUUGAAGUGUCUGCAUCCAGCCCCGUUGCCAACUUUGCUGAGGGUCAUGUGACCUAGUGGUAAGAACCAGAAGAACAGUGGCUUGAGAAAACGGAUGUUCCCAGUAGGGGUUCCGACCCCAGAUACAACAGUAGGGUUUAGGUCUGCUGCUCUGCUGGGGUGUGUUGUAUUUCUGUGUGAGAGUGACUGGACAAAGCACAACAUCAGCAUAGUGUAGUACAGUGUACGAUUAUCAUUAUUCUAUUCCUACCACACAAUACUUCUGCAUUGCGGCCU